This 429-nucleotide ribosomal RNA is filed under the name Bacteroidota bacterium. Its description in RNAcentral is "Bacteroidetes bacterium partial 16S ribosomal RNA". It matches the Rfam family "Bacterial small subunit ribosomal RNA", at positions 355 to 776 of the family's 1533-position model. Lineage: Bacteria; Pseudomonadati; Bacteroidota. The record is from RNAcentral.
UAGGGAAUCUUCCGCAAUGGACGCCAGUCUGACGGAGCAACGCCGCGUGAGUGAAGAAGGAUUUCGGUUCGUAAAACUCUGUUGUUAGAGAAGAACAGCGCAUAGAGUAACUGUUAUGCGUGUGACGGUAUCUAACCAGAAAGCCACGGCUAACUACGUGCCAGCAGCCGCGGUAAUACGUAGGUGGCAAGCGUUGUCCGGAUUUAUUGGGCGUAAAGCGAGCGCAGGCGGUCAAUUAAGUCUGAUGUGAAAGCCCCCGGCUCAACCGGGGAGGGUCAUUGGAAGCUGGUUGACUGGAGUGCAGAAGAGGAGGGUGGAAUUCCAUGUGUAGCGGUGAAAUGCGUAGAUAUGUGGAGGAACACCAGUGGCGAAGGCGACUCUCUGGUCUGUAACUGACGCUGAGGCUCGAAAGCGUGGGUAGCAAACAGG